This is a long non-coding RNA of Callithrix jacchus (white-tufted-ear marmoset), 2920 nucleotides long. Lineage: Eukaryota; Metazoa; Chordata; Mammalia; Primates; Cebidae. The record is from Ensembl.
GCACUCAAAGAAGCCAGUCCUCUGCCCUGACUCACCCACAACCUCUGUGUGGCAGACGCUGCCAUGGACAUGCCCCACCCUCACACCAGCACAUUCCAUGCCGGGACACAUAUCUGUGCCUCUCUACCUGGAGGCUGUCCCGAGGCCUGUGCAUGCGGCAGGCAGAGGGGCUGGGGAGCUGGUGGCCCUAGCAGCAGCCUUUUGCUAGGACAGACGCUCUUGCUGUUUUUACCUGCUUGGACCCCACUCUGUCUUCAGCCCGGAGGAACCAUCCAGUCCACAGACGAGACCUGAGGCUCAGGAGCAAAGCAACUUGCCACGAUCGCAUCACAGUGGCCCUGGCGGCUGAUAGGCCACAUCCUGUACAAGCAGGGGACGCCCUUCCUUCAGGGCAGUCCUGCUCGUCGCCCAGGUCCUGCUCCGAGUCUACCAGCUCCGAGUCUACCCCAAAGCCUCAGCAUGCUGCCUUUUCCCUCUAACUCGGGAGAAAGUACGUUCAAGACAGCCCUGGACUCAGAGGCUCACGCCUGUAAUCCCAGCACUUUGGGAGGCCAAGGCAAAGAGGACCGACCACUGGAUCACUUGAGCCCAGAAGUUUGAGACCAGCCUGGGCAACACAGUGAGACCCCUGUCUCUAAAAAAAUUAGUUAAUUAAUUUUUUUAAAAGAGACUUUUCCUUAUCUUACUCAUUCUUUUGACAUCAUUUUAAAUGAGAAAUGCAGAAUAUGACAUUAUACAUACUGAUAUUUUAUUUUUUUACAUAAAAUUUCAUGUGUUAAAAAACUGCACUAAAAAAAAUCUAGAAUUAUGUUAAAAUUGAUGCUGGUUAUUUGUGAAUAGUAGGAUUUUUUUUAAUGUAUUCCAACACCUAUAUAUUCCAACUUUUCCACAUUUCCGAAGUCUCCUGGAAUACUUUGGUGAUGGGAAGGAAAGAUAUGUUUACGGUUUUUGGAACACUGGAAAACGUUUCCUGUGAUGCCCUAGAGGGUUGUGGCAUAGGAGCCAGCCUUGAAGUGGAAACCCUAGGCCAUCCACUCACAAUCUGAGUAUCCUUGAGUGAGUCAUCUCUCUAACCCCCACCGUGUUCCCCAUAAACUAGAAAUAAUUAUAGCUGCCCCCACCUGACAGUCUUACUGUAAGGAUUCAAUGUGAUGAUGUAAAACAUUGGUAUCGUGUGAGUAUUCAAUAAAUAUUCCUUGAGUGAAUUUAGUGUUUUAUAUGCUUAGGAUUGAUCAGUUUAAUGCAAGUGACAGAAACCAUUAGAAGUCUGCCUUCUCUGUCUAGUCAUACCACCCUAGAAGCGCUUGGUCUUGUCUGAUCUCAGGAGCUAAACAGGGUCAGGCCUGGUUAGCACCAGAAAGGGAGAAAUCUGCUUUCUAGCUCUUGGCUCUUCUAUUCUCUGUACUGACUCAAAUCUCAGGCAGGCCCUUUCAACACAGUAGCAAGAUGGCUCCCCAGCAGACUGCAGCUGGCAUCUCAGCUUCUCAGGGCCUUAGUAGGAAGACAGCUUCUCUUUCCCAAUAAUUCCAACAAAAUUCCUCCAUGCUAAUCCAAACACUAAGGCAAUGUAGCCUGACCGUCAGGCCUGGGAAGUCACUAGCACUCCCCCAGGAAAGGGGUCAGGACCUGCCCCGCCAAACCACAUGAUUACUUGUGGUGUUUUCUCAAAGGAAACUGGAGAUGUCCUCAAAGUGCACAUUAAUCAAAUUCAACACAAAGCCUGUGAUGAACACAAGGUCACACUGCCCUUGGGACUAAAAUGCCGAUGAUUAACUUCCAUACCUGUAGGAAGAGCCACAGGGCAGUGAAAGUCCAAAACACGGGUUCCACUCACAGCUGUGUCACUUCGUGACCUUGAAUAAGCACCGUGGCCUGUCUGGGUCUCAGUUUCUUCAUCUGUCCAAUCCGCGGUUGAACUAGAAUCCAGCCUCAAGUCCCUCUGGGGCUAUGCAGUUAGCAGAUGAGCGCAGUGUCCAGGUCAGCACAGCAGGAAGUGGUGGGGCCCGAGGGGAUCCAUGAGUGCAAGCCCCAUUUAGCAUUGUGCUGUGGGCCAUGUAUUACCAGGUCUUCUGAUUUUUCAAGGCAUUCUAUGAAAUCUCCUGGCUUUUCAAUUUAAUUUCAAUUAAAGCUAAUUUAAUUGUGGUGAUGGUUGCACAACCCUGAAUUGCACCAUUGACUUGUACGUUUCAGUAGCUGAAUUGUGUGGGAGGCGAAUUAUAUUUCAAUAAGACUGAUAAAAAGACCACAGAUUGCAUGAUUCCAUUUAGAAGGAAUAUCCAGAAAAGGCAAAAAGCAGAUUGGCAGUGGCUAGGAUCUGGGAGGAAAGGACAUGGGAAGUAAAUGCUUAAUGGGGACAGAGGUUUUUUCUGGGGUGAUAAAAAUGUGUUGGGAUUACAUGGUGGUGAUAGUCAUCAAACACCGUGAAAUUGAGAAAUGUCACUGAAUUGUAUGCUUUAAAGUGGUUAAUUUUAUGCACUGUGAGUUUUACCUCAAUUAAAAAAAAAAAGUUUGCUAAAUAUUCUGCUAUCCAAAUAAAACAUAUCUGUGGGCUGAAUUGGGCCCAGAUUUUAAUCCCAGUCAGUCACUAAGGUCCCCUUUUAACAUUCUCACAGCUCAUAUUUCCAAGGACCAAAAGUGUCACCUCCAGUCGGGGACAUGAUGACCAGCUGACCACAGCUGACAACAAAGAGGAAAGAGGCAUUCUGCUUCCUCUAACUAAGGCCUCCCCCAAAAUAAGCUCAGGCCAGAAAAUAAAAGCCUGCGUAAGCUGGAACCAGGCCAAGGUUUUUCUUCUUCUUUUUUUUUUUUUUCUAACUGCCCUUUGCCACCAUGAAGGGCAAAGAGUUGCAUCUGGGUGACAGCGAAUGGACUUUGUUGACACAGCCCAACCUCAUUUUUUGUGAAGUUAAUAAUUAGGCUG